GAGAGUUUGAUCCUGGCUCAGGUCGAACGCUGGCGGUGUGUCUAAGGCAUGCAAGUUGAGCGAACUUUAUUUCUUCGGAAGUUAAGUUAGCGGCAAACGGGAGAGUAACGCAUUAGUAAUUCACCUUGUACUCGUGAAUAGCCCAGAGAAAUCUGGAGUAAUACACGAUAUGAUGGGGGGACAAAAGUCAUUCCCAUUGAAAGUUCCGACGGUGCAAGAGAAGCUUAUGUUCUAUCAGCUAGUUGGUGAGGUAAAGGCUCACCAAGGCUACGACGGAUACCGGGCGUGAGAGCGUGACCCGGCUCACUGGGACUGAGACACGGCACAGACACCUACGGGUGGCUGCAGUCAAGAAUAUUCCGCAAUGCACGAAAGUGUGACGGAGCGACGCCGCGUGAUGGAUGAAGGCUUUCGGGUCGUAA
This 422-nucleotide ribosomal RNA is filed under the name Candidatus Uhrbacteria bacterium. RNAcentral's name for it is "bacterial SSU rRNA". It matches the Rfam family "Bacterial small subunit ribosomal RNA", at positions 7 to 428 of the family's 1533-position model. Lineage: Bacteria; Candidatus Uhriibacteriota. The record is from RNAcentral.